GGCUGGCUCCUGUCACGCAGCGCUGCCUCGGAAACAACUGGGAAAUACUCACGGAGACUUUGAACGGGACAAACUCCUCACUCAGGAAUGCACACACUCCCGUACCUGGACCCCUCCCAGUUGCCCCAGCUGCCAGCCAGGGGAGUUCCUGGCAGAGUGAUUUCGGAAUCAGGACUGAAUCACAUUGCCAGGGAUUUCCAAUGGCCGGCAGGCACUGUGCAGCCCAGCCCCAGAGAGCUGGAGGCUCGAGUCGGGAACACCUCGGAAUGGGAACGCCUCAGAAUGGGAACGCCGCACGUGGCUCUGUGGUGCCAGGACUUAGCCCGCGUGUGAACACUGUGUCCUCUCCCUGUUCACAGUGGUUAAGUUCUGCCCCCCCUGGGCCUCACCAUAGAGGCGAGGAAUUUGACCCCCCCCUUUGUGUUUGUAGUCUUAUAGGAGUUUGUCUGAAAGCAGCCCAUCCCUUUGUGUUUGUAGUCUUAUAGGAGUCCGUCUGAAAGUAGCCCAUCCCUUUGUGUUUGUAGUCUUAUAGGAGUUUGUCUGAAAGCAGCCCAUCCCCUUUGUGUUUGUAGUCUUAUAGGAGUCCGUUUGAAAGUAGCCCAUCCCUUUGUGUUUGUAGUCUUAUAGUUUGUCUGAAAGUAGCCCAUCCCUUUGUGUUUGUAGUCUUAUAGGAGUCCGUCUGAAAGUAGCCCAUCCCUUUGUGUUUGUAGUCUUAUAGGAGUCCGUCUGAAAGUAGCCCAUCCCUUUGUGUUUGUAGUCUUAGCCUAGCCCUUCGUGCUUACCCGAUACAUCGAGAACCAUUUUAUCCGUCAGUAGCUGAAUUGAUUAGAUUGUGCGCUGAUCACCUCACCUUUGGUAUCCGUGAUGCUCAGAGUGCGUCCACGUUCGGAGAUGUCCCGCUCUCUCGGUCUGUCCAGAGGACGGAGCGGCUCUGCAGACGUGUCCGUGUCAGAACGGAGCAGGCGCUGGUUUCGCUCGUGGACCGGUCUCCCUCGUGCUCUGGUCUCUCCCGGGCCGGUCUCCUGUGCCUGCUGUGCUGAUAAUCAGUCUCUCUCAUCAGCUGGCUCAGUUCAGCAGGAACAGCAGCCCUGUCCCCUCGAUAGGAGAGAGGAAGGAGAGGGAGCGUGCAAGAGCAUCCAUACGGAUCUUUCUACGCGUUUUAACUUCCAUUGCUGUGUUUGGGAACUUUCUCUCCAUGACCACUCUAAAAAUAAGACUCACCAAAUAAACAAGCAUAAAGUGAACCGGUGAAGACAGCGCAGAUGCCACUCGUACAGUAAAGUAGUGUGAGUGAGUGAGAGAGAGACUGAGGAGCAGCUCAACAAAGAAUGUCACUUUGAAAAUAAAGGAAUGAAUUAAACAA
Long non-coding RNA from Conger conger (European conger), 1363 nucleotides. RefSeq lists it as uncharacterized. Lineage: Eukaryota; Metazoa; Chordata; Actinopteri; Anguilliformes; Congridae. The transcript is spliced from 2 exons. The record is from RefSeq and is a predicted model, not a curated record.